RNAcentral lists this ribosomal RNA (500 nucleotides) under uncultured methanogenic archaeon. Its description in RNAcentral is "bacterial SSU rRNA". It matches the Rfam family "Archaeal small subunit ribosomal RNA", at positions 9 to 511 of the family's 1478-position model. Lineage: Archaea; Methanobacteriati; Methanobacteriota. The record is from RNAcentral.
UGAUCCUGGCGGAGGUUACUGCUAUCGGUGUUCGCCUAAGCCAUGCGAGUCAUAUGUAGCAAUACAUGGCGUACUGCUCAGUAACACGUGGAUAACCUGCCCUUGGGACCGGCAUAACCCCGGGAAACUGGGGAUAAUUCCGGAUAACGCAUAUUUGCUGGAAUGCUUUAUGCGUCAAAAGGAUUCGUCUGCCCAAGGAUGGGUCUGCGGCCUAUCAGGUAGUAGUGGGUGUAAUGUACCUACUAGCCAGCGACGGGUACGGGUUGUGAGAGCAAGAGCCCGGAGAUGGAUUCUGAGACAUGAAUCCAGGCCCUACGGGGCGCAGCAGGCGCGAAAACUUUACAAUGCGGGAAACCGUGAUAAGGGGACACCGAGUGCCAGCAUCAUAUGCUGGCUGUCCGGAUGUGUAAAAUACAUCCGUUAGCAAGGGCCGGGCAAGACCGGUGCCAGCCGCCGCGGUAACACCGGCGGCCCGAGUGGUGAUCGUGAUUAUUGGGUCU